UGUGUGAGUGUGGUUAGGAUAGGGGAAAACCUCUCUGGCCUUGUUUGUAUUUCCUUAAACAAUCACUAC
Molecule: long non-coding RNA, 69 nt
Organism: Sander lucioperca (pikeperch)
Lineage: Eukaryota; Metazoa; Chordata; Actinopteri; Perciformes; Percidae
Exons: 3
Source: RefSeq, a predicted model, not a curated record